Molecule: ribosomal RNA, 561 nt
Filed under: uncultured mesostigmatophycean
Lineage: Eukaryota; Viridiplantae; Streptophyta; Mesostigmatophyceae
Description: bacterial SSU rRNA
Rfam family: Bacterial small subunit ribosomal RNA
Source: RNAcentral
UGAGUUUGAUCAUGGCUCAGAACGAACGCUGGUGGCGUGCUUAACACAUGCAAGUCGAUCGCGAACGUCCUUCGGGACAAGUAGAGUGGCGCAUGGGUGAGUAACGCGUGGGUAAUCUGCCCUUGAGUAGGGGAUAACUUCGGGAAACUGAAGCUAAUACCGUAUAACGAUGCUUUCCUACGGGAGAGUAUACAAAGGUGGGGAUCUUCGGACCUGCCGCUUGAGGAUGAGCCCGCGUACCAUUAGGUAGUUGGUGGGGUAAUGGCCUACCAAGCCGAAGAUGGUUAGCUGGUCUGAGAGGAUGAUCAGCCACACUGGGACUGAGACACGGCCCAGACUCCUACGGGAGGCAGCAGUGGGGAAUCUUGCGCAAUGGGCGAAAGCCUGACGCAGCAACGCCGCGUGUGUGAAGAAGGCCCUCGGGUCGUAAAGCACUAUAAAGUGAGAAGAGCAGGUAGUGGUUAAUACCCUCUGCCCCGACGGUAUCACUAGACAAAGCACCGGCUAACUCCGUGCCAGCAGCCGCGGUAAUACGGAGGGUGCAAGCGUUGUUCGGAAUUA